This 429-nucleotide ribosomal RNA is filed under the name Acidobacteriota bacterium. RNAcentral describes it as "Acidobacteria bacterium partial 16S ribosomal RNA". It matches the Rfam family "Bacterial small subunit ribosomal RNA", at positions 355 to 776 of the family's 1533-position model. Lineage: Bacteria; Pseudomonadati; Acidobacteriota. The record is from RNAcentral.
UGGGGAAUUUUGGACAAUGGGGGAAACCCUGAUCCAGCCAUCCCGCAUGUGCGAUGAAGGCCUUCGGGUUGUAAAGCACUUUUGGCAGGAAAGAAACGUCAUGGGUUAAUACCCCGUGAAACUGACGGUACCUGCAGAAUAAGCACCGGCUAACUACGUGCCAGCAGCCGCGGUAAUACGUAGGGUGCAAGCGUUAAUCGGAAUUACUGGGCGUAAAGCGUGCGCAGGCGGUUCGGAAAGAAAGAUGUGAAAUCCCAGAGCUCAACUUUGGAACUGCAUUUUUAACUACCGGGCUAGAGUGUGUCAGAGGGAGGUGGAAUUCCGCGUGUAGCAGUGAAAUGCGUAGAUAUGCGGAGGAACACCGAUGGCGAAGGCAGCCUCCUGGGAUAACACUGACGCUCAUGCACGAAAGCGCGGGGAGCAAACAGG